UACGGGGGGAGCAAGCGUUGUUCGGAUUUACUGGGCGUAAAGGGCGUGUAGGCGGCCAGCGCAAGUCAGUUGUGAAAUCUCCGGGCUUAACUCGGAACGGUCAACUGAUACUGCGCGGCUAGAGUGCAGAAGGGGCAACUGGAAUUCUCGGUGUAGCGGUGAAAUGCGUAGAUAUCGAGAGGAACACCUGCGGCGAAGGCGGGUUGCUGGGCUGACACUGACGCUGAUGCGCGAAAGCCAGGGGAGCGAACGGG
RNAcentral lists this ribosomal RNA (254 nucleotides) under uncultured bacterium. Its description in RNAcentral is "partial 16S ribosomal RNA". It matches the Rfam family "Bacterial small subunit ribosomal RNA", at positions 524 to 776 of the family's 1533-position model. The record is from RNAcentral.